AUUGGAUGUUGAGAUGAGAGCGCGUGGGGGAGGGCUGGAAUCUGGCCAUUCGACGUUGUCACCCAUCGUGGGGGAACUUCGUGAAGCUAGAAGAUGUGGUCGUUGCUCAAAGUGACUGGUGCCUCAAGACAUUGUGUGGAAUAUACUGUGUCAGUGUGUAGGUUGAUCGUCAACUACGUGAAGGCAUCGAAGGACAUUUUCUGAUAAGGCAGAGUACGCGCAUCUCCGUCGCGCCCUCCAACCGCGCUCACCAACUGCUGCUGCUCGAUGUACUCACCUUGCCACUGCUUUCAGAUAGCUUUCCCAUUGCUUGCAUAGUCACCUUGACAGCAGGACAUGAGAUGCAUGCCACAGAACGGUCCAAAGCCUCGACAGCUCUGCAGGUGCUCGGAUCCCAAGUCCGGGUGG
This 408-nucleotide unclassified non-coding RNA is filed under the name plant metagenome. RNAcentral describes it as "partial contains 5.8S ribosomal RNA, internal transcribed spacer 2, and large subunit ribosomal RNA". The record is from RNAcentral.